Molecule: ribosomal RNA, 756 nt
Filed under: Phocaeicola dorei
Lineage: Bacteria; Pseudomonadati; Bacteroidota; Bacteroidia; Bacteroidales; Bacteroidaceae
Description: bacterial SSU rRNA
Rfam family: Bacterial small subunit ribosomal RNA
Source: RNAcentral
UCAGGAUGAACGCUAGCUACAGGCUUAACACAUGCAAGUCGAGGGGCAGCAUGGUCUUAGCUUGCUAAGGCCGAUGGCGACCGGCGCACGGGUGAGUAACACGUAUCCAACCUGCCGUCUACUCUUGGACAGCCUUCUGAAAGGAAGAUUAAUACAAGAUGGCAUCAUGAGUCCGCAUGUUCACAUGAUUAAAGGUAUUCCGGUAGACGAUGGGGAUGCGUUCCAUUAGAUAGUAGGCGGGGUAACGGCCCACCUAGUCUUCGAUGGAUAGGGGUUCUGAGAGGAAGGUCCCCCACAUUGGAACUGAGACACGGUCCAAACUCCUACGGGAGGCAGCAGUGAGGAAUAUUGGUCAAUGGGCGAGAGCCUGAACCAGCCAAGUAGCGUGAAGGAUGACUGCCCUAUGGGUUGUAAACUUCUUUUAUAAAGGAAUAAAGUCGGGUAUGGAUACCCGUUUGCAUGUACUUUAUGAAUAAGGAUCGGCUAACUCCGUGCCAGCAGCCGCGGUAAUACGGAGGAUCCGAGCGUUAUCCGGAUUUAUUGGGUUUAAAGGGAGCGUAGAUGGAUGUUUAAGUCAGUUGUGAAAGUUUGCGGCUCAACCGUAAAAUUGCAGUUGAUACUGGAUAUCUUGAGUGCAGUUGAGGCAGGCGGAAUUCGUGGUGUAGCGGUGAAAUGCUUAGAUAUCACGAAGAACUCCGAUUGCGAAGGCAGCCUGCUAAGCUGCAACUGACAUUGAGGCUCGAAAGUGUGGGUAUC